This 441-nucleotide ribosomal RNA is filed under the name Triticum aestivum (bread wheat). Its description in RNAcentral is "partial small subunit ribosomal RNA". The record is from RNAcentral. Lineage: Eukaryota; Viridiplantae; Streptophyta; Magnoliopsida; Poales; Poaceae.
AUGGAUCAUCGUCAGCCGGGUAGUUGUCAUCAGGGCGCCAAGCCGCCAACCAUGCUGGUAUGCAUGUUUCUUGCUGGACUAGGUGUGUCUAUGUUUUUCCCUUUUUGUAGGGUUGUGUCCGUUAGCUUGGUUGCUUUUCUUGCAGCCGCCGCAUUGGUGGAUGGUUCUGCUGGUGUGUCCCAUGGUGGCGAUGUUGAGGCUAAGGCGUGGGUGGGUGUGCCUGGUCUUUUCGCUCAUGGUGGCUACGCCGAGGCACGGGUUGUUGCGCCUGAUCCUGUCGCUCAUGGUGGCGAUGGUGACGUGUGUGUGUGUGUGGAUGUGCUUGCUCUUUUCGAGCAUAGUGACGUCGUUGAGUGUUACCACCAAAAGAAAAGGAUUAAUACCUCUGCAGGUGCUUAUCUAUUUGGGUUUUGGGAUUUGAUGCAUAUGUACCAUGGGUAA